This 1222-nucleotide unclassified non-coding RNA is filed under the name Homo sapiens (human). RNAcentral describes it as "BCL2-like 12 (proline rich), transcript variant 49". The record is from RNAcentral. Lineage: Eukaryota; Metazoa; Chordata; Mammalia; Primates; Hominidae.
AUGGGACGGCCCGCUGGGCUGUUCCCGCCCCUAUGCCCUUUUUUGGGUUUCCGGCCAGAGGCAUGCUGGGAGCGUCACAUGCAAAUUGAGCGUGCACCCAGCGUUCCGCCCUUUCUACGCUGGGCCGGUUAUCGACCCGGCCCAGUGCGCAGGCGCGGGAAAGUUGAACUAAUAAAGUUUGUACGAGUUCAGUGGAGGAGACCGCAAGUUGAGUGGAGGAGGCGGCGGUGGGGCCCCGGACCAGGUGCCUCCAUGGCAGGCUCUGAAGAGCUGGGGCUCCGGGAAGACACGCUGAGGGUCCUAGCUGCCUUCCUUAGGCGUGGUGAGGCUGCCGGGUCUCCUGUUCCAACUCCACCUAGAAGCCCUGCCCAAGAAGAGCCAACAGACUUCCUGAGCCGCCUUCGAAGAUGUCUUCCCUGCUCCCUGGGGCGAGGAGCAGCCCCCUCUGAGUCCCCUCGGCCUUGCUCUCUGCCCAUCCGCCCCUGCUAUGGUUUAGAGCCUGGUAAGAGAUUUCCAUGAUCAUCUAUGAAGCCGGCAGAACACGGGAUAAGGCCCAGCUACUCCAGACUUCUAUGCUUUGGUGGCCCAGCGGCUGGAACAGCUGGUCCAAGAGCAGCUGAAAUCUCCGCCCAGCCCAGAAUUACAGGGUCCCCCAUCGACAGAGAAGGAAGCCAUACUGCGGAGGCUGGUGGCCCUGCUGGAGGAGGAGGCAGAAGUCAUUAACCAGAAGCUGGCCUCGGACCCCGCCCUGCGCAGCAAGCUGGUCCGCCUGUCCUCCGACUCUUUCGCCCGCCUGGUGGAGCUGUUCUGUAGCCGGGAUGACAGCUCUCGCCCAAGCCGAGCAUGCCCCGGGCCCCCGCCUCCUUCCCCGGAGCCCCUGGCCCGCCUGGCCCUAGCCAUGGAGCUGAGCCGGCGCGUGGCCGGGCUGGGGGGCACCCUGGCCGGACUCAGCGUGGAGCACGUGCACAGCUUCACGCCCUGGAUCCAGGCCCACGGGGGCUGGGAGGGCAUCCUGGCUGUUUCACCCGUGGACUUGAACUUGCCAUUGGACUGAGCUCUUUCUCAGAAGCUGCUACAAGAUGACACCUCAUGUCCCUGCCCUCUUCGUGUGCUUUUCCAAGUCUUCCUAUUCCACUCAGGGCUGUGGGGUGGUGGUUGCCCUACCUGUUUUUGCCAAAAAUAAAUUGUUUAAAACUUUUCUUAUUAAAAACGUUACAAAGUA